Molecule: transfer RNA, 78 nt
Filed under: Marmota monax (woodchuck)
Lineage: Eukaryota; Metazoa; Chordata; Mammalia; Rodentia; Sciuridae
Description: tRNA.Ala
Rfam family: tRNA
About the family: Transfer RNA (tRNA) molecules are approximately 80 nucleotides in length.
Source: RNAcentral
UGGGAUGUAGCUCAAUUGGUAGAGUGCUUGCCUCGCAUGCAGAGGGCCCUGGGUUCAAUUCAAUCCCCAGCACCACAA